AGACUUGGGGGAUUACAUUAUGUACCAUAUAUUGGGCCUUAAUUGGGCCUCAUGAAAAAUACUCGGGGGACUUAGCCCAUUAUUUAUGUAUUGAGGAGUGAGUCCUUAUCCUAUAAAAGGGACUCCCUCACCAUCAUUAGAGAGCAUCAACUCUAGCCCAUUAUUCAUGUAUUGAGGAGCUAGCCCUUAGUCUAUAAAAGGGACUCCCUCACCAUCAUUAGAGAGCAUCAACUCUAGCCCAUUAUUCAUGUAUUGAAGAGCGAGCCCUUAGUCUAUAAAAGGGACUCCCUCACCAUCAUUAGAGAGUAUCAACUCUAGCCCGUUAUUCAUGUAUUGAGGAGCGAGCCCUUAUUCUAUAAAAGGGACCCCCUCACCUUCAACGCUACAAGCCGAGCCAACCAAGGCAACAUAAGCCACGAACUGAAUAGCCUCGCAGCAUGUGCUACUUCUAGUUGAGCAUCAUAUUGAGCACCGCCUCAUAUCGAGCAUCAGUUCCAGACAACAACUAGUUACUUCGGCCCACACAUGGACUGAAUUUCAAGUCUCCAGCCAAAAAACUCUCUUGACUGAAGACUUGGGGGACUACUGUUUAUACCAUACUUAGGGCCUCCGUAUUUAGAUCUCGUACAAAUACUCGGGGGACUUAAAUAUAAUUAUGUAAUAAAGGAAUGGGCAAAUAUGUAAUAAGUGAGGAGCCUUUAUUCUAUAAAAUGACUCCUCACCCUCACAAUUAGAGGAGGCAAACUCUUAGGCCUAAAGCCCUCUCACCCUCUCAUAUUACAGAGGCUUUCUCCCUCACAAUCUUCUCAGAAAUACAAUAUCAGUGUGGACGUAGCCCAAACCUUAGGGUGAACCACGAUACAUCUUGUGUUAUUUGCUUUCUUGCAGAUUCACAGUCGGAUUUAUGUUGUUCCAAGACCUCCGGUUUUGUGCAUCAACAGAGUGAUUAAUGGCGGAUCUGCCCACGCGUUUAUAUCAUUGUUAUUGAAGGAACACCAUGCUCAUGAACUCAUCAUGUAUAUAAAUAUGGCCAAGUGGUGAUGAGAGGUGCCCUCUCUAACUACAUCGGGCCUUUAAAUACAAAGAAGUGGAAAAGGAGAAUAGAGAAAGAAUAAGAGUGAGAGUCGACUGUGCAAGUGAAGGUUAUUAGGCCUACUUGCUCGUUUGCUACUUAUGAUGUUCUAGAAUUUCCAUGGAGGUACAACUUGAGUGCAACUAUCACGAAGGUAAGUUGUUUGACAAAAAUUCUAAGAGAACCAAGUAAUUGGUGGGUAGGGAGGGGAAAGUGGUGUGUGCUUGUGCUCAGGGGUGGAUGCAUUGAGGGGCAGGGGGGCUGACCCCCUGAACUUCAAUGAAUGUCCAGGGAUAACUUGAGUGGUGACCUUUCGAACUUCGGUGAAUAUCUAUGGAUGACUUGGAUGCUGCCUCUUUAAAGGUUGGAGUUGCCCUUCAUAUAUGCCCUUCAACUGCUUGUAAAAUGCAUUACAGAGGUGUUGCCCCUUUACAGUCUAGUCCUCAUAUUAUUUACCUCUAGCUUGUUUGUCGGUUGUGAUUACAAUUGUAGGCAGAAAAAAAGAACCAAGUAAAAAACUAUCAAAAAAUGCAAAGUAAAUGAAAUGGUGAUUUCAGAGAAUAACGCAUGCGUGAUUUUUACUGACCCCCCUAAUAUUAUUUCCUGGAUCUACCACGCUGCAUCUUGGACCACAACUACGUACUUUUUUUGUUCGUUAAGUUUUUGCUUUUCUGCAUUUAAGUUGAAGGUUAAAAUAGGAUUAAAAUGCAGGCGUUCUUUCAUGUAUUAUUUAGAUGUUUUGUUGUCCACCUUAGUUUUUGUUUCCUCCUAAAUCGUAAAGCAUAUUUUCUUAAGAAAAUUAAUGAAAAUGACUUGAAAACUUUGAGUUUUAACGAUAAGGACAAAAUAAAUGGUAAAGUGAAUAGUACUAUAUUUGACUUUUUAGUGUAAAAAUGUGGUUUUUCGUUAAAGUGAACAGUACCGUGAGCUUUUCGUUAAAACUCCCUUUCCUUUUUUCUUUAUUUUUUUUUUCUGUGUGAAAGGAAGCUGAACAUUUGGAACACAAAUUCACUGUCUUGGGUAAAAAUAUUAUUGGAUUUUGUUGUCCAAGGAGAUCUCAUGCAUGCGACCCAAAAUGGUCCUUCACUUACAUGUCUGCCACAUUAACACCCACCCGGUGGCAUCAGUUGGACCACCAUGUACGACCAGGGAGACCACUACUGCCUCGUUUGGGCCCUUUCCUCCCUGAAACACGUACUGUAAAUCUGUAAAAUUUGAUUUUAAUCUCAUACAGAAAAAAUACAUAUACAUAUAUAUAUAUACACACCUACAUAUAACUAAUAUUGUAAUUGUAAGAUUAAUCAACUUAUAAACUAAAUUUCUAAUAGAAAUGAAUUAUAAUAUCAGAGUUUCAAGCAUAAUAUAUAUGUGCUAUAAUAUAUAUGUACUAACUUAGAGAGUAGUCAAAUUAAGAUUUAUAAGAAGAAAGAAAAAAGAAAUUCAGAUUCAGUAGGAUUUUAAGAAUUAUAAGGUAGUCAAUCAAGAUUUUAAUUUUUUUUUAAAAUUAAUGUAAAUUUAUAUGUAAACUGAAAUUUUAAUAGUUAUUUAGCAAGUAUACAUGCAAAUCUAGAUAUAUUUCAGAAGCUUACAAAUUUUAUGGAAUUUCGUUUGAGUUGUGAAUUUUGAUAGAUUUAAGGAUAAACAGUAUACGUACCAAAGACACUAAACAAUUUCACCCUUUCCCAAAGAUUUUAUUGGAUUCCUCUGCAAUGAAUUCAUGAACUCUGUUGUUCACACCUGUGUCCUUCAUAACUUUCCUUUACGAUCCAGAAUCAUUCGACCUACCUAAUUAAAGCACCAUAUGUGUAAGACAUGACUGCAUUCUACUGUUAUGGGGCUCCCUAUAAUUAUCUGCAACCCCAUUUUUUUUUAUCAAACGUAUUUUAAUCACACUCAUCAGGGACCAAAUUUUCAUUUGUCUGCUGUCAACAAAAUAAAUUGAUAUCCCAUUUUUUUUUUCUUCUCAUUUACGGGAGAGAAAGAGAGAUGGAGAGGUGGAUUCUGGGUAGGUGAUGGUGUGACAAGGGCAUAGGAGGGAGGGGAUAUGGUGGUUAUUGGGUAGGGAGGAUGGGGAAGGGACACAGUUUUUCUUUUAUGUUUUAUUAUUUCCAAAAUCAAAUUAUUGAGAUAAAUGACUAGAAAAUCUUCCAAAAUCCAUCAAAAUUUAUGAAUAAAAUUCUCUAAAAAUUCAUCAAGUUCCACAAACGAAAUCCAUCACAAUCCUCAAAAGUGCAUUUGAAUUCUACAAAUCCUAUAAAAUCUACCACUUAGAAAGUCUUUUGAAAUCCUUCUAAAUGCUAAUUUGUUUACCUUUCAUAUGAACCUUGCAACAUCUCUCAAGUUUUUUUAUUCAGUUGUUGUUUAAAUCUUGUAUCAUCUCUCUAGUUCUCAUAGAAAAUAAAGAGAUCGAAUAAAGAUAAAAUACACCAAACAUGCCCAAAAUUUAUUAGUUUUUCGAUCCACUUAAAAUAGAGAAAUAAAUAACAUCAAGAACUAAAACAAAAAUGUUUUUUUAUUUUUUUAUUUUUUAUGAUCAUAAACACAAUAUACCAACAUAGAAUGUAUGAGAAAAGAGCGCCUUCAAAUCGCUUCUAAAGAUGAUCACGAUCUCAAAGAAAAUUGCCUAUCAGUCCCUAUAUUCGCUAGCAGCCUAGCAAAGAUAAAGGUUAGAUAAUUUUCCAGAAAAUAAAAAUUAAUGGAAGACGAGAUUUUUGCCCAUUUUUUUUUAAUACAGUAGAUAUACAUGACGGUGCCUUUUUUUAACACCAUUUUAGUUUUUUGAUCUCAUGCAUAUAUCUUUUAGAGAUCUUACUUCUUGACUUCACAUAUAGUACAUUUUCCACAACAGGUUAUAUAAAUAUUCUUUGUAUCUACAAAACUCAUCACGUGAUAAGUGUUGUAGAAAGGUGACACAACAUAUUUCUCUAUAUAACAACAGAUAUAUAUAUAUAUAUAUAUAUAUAUAUACAGAGAGCUUAAGGGGAGGGAUCCCCAUUUUUUCAAAAAAAAUGGGGACACGCUCCCCACCGUUAGAUUGACUUUAAUGAAAUUGUGUGGUUGAGAUUAAAACACAGGCCACAUAAUCUCAACCACAUGAUUUCAUUAAAGUCAAAUCCAACGGUAGGGAGCGUAUCCUCAUUUUUUUGAAAAAAUGGGGAUCCCUCCCCUUAAGCAAUUCCUAUAUAUAUAUAUAUAUAUAUAUAUAUAUAUAUAACUUAAUUGUUUAGAGCAUCUACAGACACACAUUUGAGAGUUUAUUUUAUUUUAUUUUUUAUUUUACCCAAGCAUCUAUAAAUAUAACUUAAUUGUUUUAGAAUGACUAAAACCCUUGUAGUGAAAGGGCUUUUGGGUUCUAAAAGCACUUGAAGUACAUAUUAGAUGGUGCUUCUUGCAUGAAGCAUUUUAAGUGAUUUUUCAAGAUUUACUUGCAUUUUUACUAAAAACUGGUAACUAUAAGUACUUUCAUUAAACGCGUUAACCGUUAUUUAAAAAGACUUCCAAACACACUUCUAGUCAAGCAGAGAAUAAAGCACGUAUAUGGGAUAUAGUACAUGCAUGAUUCAUAGCUGAAGUAUAAAUAAGAAGUAUAGAGGUCAGGAGACACACUCAAAGGACAAUUAGAAUGAUAUAGAACACAAUAGUAAGCUAUAAGAGCAUCCUCAAUGGGGGCUUUAUUCUCCUUGAGGCUACCACAUUUGUAGCUUUAAUGAAAAAUUUCAUCCCUAAUUGGCCGGAAAAUGGUGCUAUAUCCACCACAAAGGCUAGCAACUUCAAUCAUUGGGUAGUAAGAAGUUAGGCUACAUCUAGCCCCAAAAAGUAGGGGGACCACACCAAAUUGAGGGCCCAGUCUUUGUUUUCGUUUAGUUUAGAAAUGGGUGAGCCCCAUUUUUAAUUCCAAAAAAUGAUUUUAAGGGUUUAUUUUUCAACCGUUUAGGAUUUUAAGAGUUUAUUUUCAACUGUUUGUUGUUUAAGUAAGAAAACAUAUACAAACAACUAUUAUUUUUUGUGUUAUUGAUUAGAAAAAAAUGUUGUGCUUCGUGUUUAAUUUUCUAGAAUGAAAAAUCCAAAAAAAAAAUUGAUGAAAUUUAACAUUGGUAGUUUAGAGACCUAAACCGAAAAUAUAAACAAAUAACAUGACUAAAUUGUGAUAAGAUAAUCCAAUCCAAUUAUUGUUAUGAAAUGAAAAUCUUGUUUGAUUUCGGAGAAUGUGUCAUAUCAGAGAAAUAAACCAAUGGUUAUGAAAUGAAAUCUUAUCUUGUUUGAUCUCAUAGAAACAAACCAACAGAUGAGAUUGAAAUAAGAUAAUCAAAACCAAUGAUUGUUAUGAAACGAAAUCUUAUUUUGUCUGAUUUCAUAGAAACAAGCCAACGGAUGAGAUUGAGAUAAGAGAACCUACAACGAUGCAUAACUGAUGAAAUCUAACUUUAUCAGAAUUUGAAUAUUUUUAGAUUAAAAAGUUCAUAAAUUAAAAUUUAAGAUAACAUGUCCAAAAAUCAAGUUUAGAGAAGUUAAGACAAUAAUAAAUUUACCGCAUAAUCAAAUCACUACAUAAUAAAAUAUAUAGCCCUAUAUAGAGCCCGAAAUAUAUAUAGCCCCUUAUUGGGAUAGAUUCUUUUUUAGAGCCCUUAAGAUUCCUCGGAGCUCUAAAUUAGGCUAUAUCCACAACUUUUCUAGCCUCAUAUAGAGUUGAGGAUGCUCUAAAGAUCCCAAUAUAAAGGGUAAGAAGUUUGAAAUGAAAUCAUGACCACACAGGAUAAACCAUAAACUAUCAACUAUAUAUAGAAGACGAUGCUAAAGUACAUCAGCUCCAUGCAUUUUUUAAAAAUAAAUAAAUUGUGUAAUGGACAAUUAAAAUCACAAAUAAAAGAAAGAGCAGUGACCGGAGUUGUGUCAACAAUUGGAAUGCGUGUAAUGGACAAUUAAAAUCACUAAUAAAAGAAAGAGCAGUGACCGGAGUUGUGUCAAUAAUUGGAAUGCGUAUGAUUAUUAAUUAAUUAUGACUCAUUAUCUUAAGCAGAAAUUAAUACCAACGCUAGAUUCAAGUCUUAAUUAAACAUCGAAAGUAAUGAUAAUAUAGGUUCAUGAGCAGAAUAAGUGAAUGAAGGAGGGGUUAAUAUAUAUGUAAUUGUAAGAAAGAAAGUGUUGAAAUCUAUGUAAAGUAUGCGUUUUGUACGAAAUGGAAGAAAGAGAGAAAAUAGUUGAAAGAAAAUGCAUUAAAAUUCUAGACUUGCUAUAUAUGCAAGUUCUCUAAAUAAGCCAGAGUGAUCAGGUGGUCAUAGUUCAUACUUUAUUAUCUAAUUUAAGUAUAUUUCCAUUCCGAAAUUUUACGAUUUGGCAUUAAGGGAAGAUCAACUCCUACCUUAACAGUGAGAAUUGGAAAUCAGUGGUCCUAGCAUUGUAGUUCACUAUGUUAUAACUGGAAAUCUUGAGUUUGGACCUCUCUAAUUUAUUCAAUGCAUGUUUGGAGAUCGAUAUAUAUAACAUGUAUGCAUGAUUAACCAGAAAAUGAUGUACCUGAUGACAGAGGUGGUUCAUAAGGUUUUCCUCAUUAUCAAAACAUAAAAAAUAUAAAAUUCAUAGAUAUAGGUACGGAAGAUAUUUGCAUAUGACUGAAGAUAUAUCUAUAUCUUCAUGUUACGAUGGUACUUAUUACGUAGCCUAAUUGAGACCCAAUAAGAUGUGAAAGUAUCAUGGAUAGUGAUAGAGGCACACAGAUCUCUAUGAUCUUGAAAUGACUGAAGCAUCGGAUGUUACUAUUACUGAAGAAGUGAGAAAAUAGUUGGAGUACUGAAUAUUAUGUCCUUGAGAGGAGUGAUGAAUGAGAGGGGAGUGAGGUUACAUCUCAAGGGUCCCAAGUUGGAAGACGAGUCACUCUUUGGUUGGUCCUCAAACAAUUGUAUAGGCAUAGACAAAAAUGGCAGUGAGAAUGUGUGACCAUUUCCGACCAAGAUUUUGCAUAUCGAAGUUCCCAAACCGAUUCUAAUUUUCAAUGAUCUACUGAUUUCACAGCUAGAGAUCGAACCACUUGAAAUAUUUUUCUAAAAACAAUUAAUUCUUUGAAUCAAAUAGCGUCAACCCACCACCCAAAACAAGUGAGGAAAAAAAUCAUACACAGAGACGAUCUAAAACAUCUUUCACACAUUUCUAUUUUUGAGCAAUAGAAAGAUAGGAAAAAACCAAGCUUGUUAUUUGUUCACGAUUCAAAAGUAAUAAAUUUUAAAAUGAUGAUACAAUUUGAAGAUUUCCAUUGUAU
RNAcentral lists this long non-coding RNA (7325 nucleotides) under Malus domestica (apple). RNAcentral describes it as "long non-coding RNA (MDOM_LNC002635)". The record is from RNAcentral. Lineage: Eukaryota; Viridiplantae; Streptophyta; Magnoliopsida; Rosales; Rosaceae.